RNAcentral lists this ribosomal RNA (253 nucleotides) under uncultured bacterium. RNAcentral describes it as "partial 16S ribosomal RNA". It matches the Rfam family "Bacterial small subunit ribosomal RNA", at positions 524 to 776 of the family's 1533-position model. The record is from RNAcentral.
GACGAACCGUCCAAACGUUAUUCGGAAUCACUGGGCUUACAGAGUUCGUAGGCGGUCUGGAAAGUUGGGUGUGAAAUCCCUCGGCCUAACCGAGGAACUGCGCUUGAAACUACCAGACUCGAGGGAGAUAGAGGAAAGCGGAACUGAUGGUGGAGCGGUGAAAUGCGUUGAUAUCAUCAGGAACACCGGUGGCGAAGGCGGCUUUCUGGGUCUUACCUGACGCUGAGGAACGAAAGCUAGGGGAGCGAACGGG